Molecule: long non-coding RNA, 748 nt
Filed under: Mus spicilegus (steppe mouse)
Lineage: Eukaryota; Metazoa; Chordata; Mammalia; Rodentia; Muridae
Description: lncRNA (ENSMSIG00000022174.1)
Source: RNAcentral
UAUAUCAACAGAACAUUAUUCACACUUAAACUAUAUGGGUGUUAUUUCAUAUCUUGUAGCUUCAGCUAUAAAAUGCAAAGAAAGUGAAAAGUCAUUUGGAGAAUGGCUACAAUCUUCUGAGGUACAAUAAUAUGAGAAUAUUAACCUUCAGCAGCAGGAUUCCAAGCUAACUGACUAAGGCUAAGCCCACUCUACUGUAUGGGACUGAAGAGUAAAGUGCUCUGGCAUGUUGUGUACUCAAUAAUGAAAAACAUCCCAGAUGUGUCAGGACUGUCCUGUGACCAAGUCACGCAAGGACUCGGAAAGCUUCUUCAGAAAAACAGCUGCAGAGAUAACACAGAGCAAUCACUGUUCAACAAGGAUUUCUUCAAGGUCUGUGAUGGUUUCGACAUGUUUGGGUCAGGGAACUGCCAUUAUUUGGAGGUGUGGCCUUGUUGGAGUAGGUGUGUCACUGUGGGUGUGGAUUUAAUAACCUCAUCCUAGCUGCCUGGAAUUCAGUCUGCCACUAGCAGCCUUCAGAUGAAGAUGUAGAACUCUCGGCUCCUCCCACACCGUGCCUGUCCGAAUGCUGCCCAUGUCUCCCACCUUGAUGAUAGUGAACUGAGCCUCUGAACCUAUAAGCCAGCCCCAAGUAAAUGCUGUCCUUUAUAAGACUUGCCUUGGCUAUGGUGUUUGUUCAUAGCAGUAAAAUCCUAACUAAGACAAGGUCAAAGGGCAUCUAGAAAACAAGUGUUUAUUUUAAUGUUUA